RNAcentral lists this long non-coding RNA (323 nucleotides) under Daucus carota (carrot). RNAcentral describes it as "long non-coding RNA (DCAR_LNC006868)". Lineage: Eukaryota; Viridiplantae; Streptophyta; Magnoliopsida; Apiales; Apiaceae. The record is from RNAcentral.
UAUAGAAGACUGCAUCAACUCUAACGGUAGGAAGCUAAUCAGACAUAAAAGGAAAAGACAAUGAGCCUAACAGAACAUAGAUAGAAACAAUAUAGUCUAACAGAAAAGCAAGUGGUCCAUGCAGAAUGACAGAGAGACAAGGAGGCUGAAAUAACGCAUUGACAUGGACAAGAGACAUGCAAGCUGACAACGUUAAUACUCCCCCGCAAGCUGAGCAGAGGAUGGAGUGAAUGCUCCAAGCUUGUGUAGAAGGUGAUGAUGUUGUUUAAGUGACAACGGUUUGGUAAGGAGAUCAGCAACUUGCUCUGAAGAGGGAACAUGAG